UUUAUCUAGAAGUACUAUCAAACACCUAGAGGGGGAUGAAUAGGUGUAUAGGCUAAAAAUAAAAAAUCUCAAUGUGAUAAAAAUUAAAUGCGAAAAAUAAAAAUCACACCGAGAUUUAUAUGGAAAAACUCCAACUUGGAAUAAAAAACCCACGGGACUAACACGCGAAAAAAUAAUUCACUAAGAAAAAAGAUUACAAGGUAAUUACCGACUCCACGGACUCGACCUCUUUUAACCUCCUAUGAAUCUCGCGCAAUCCUCUGGGUUGUCCACGCCCUUACGUUCGAAUCCAUGAACACCUCGUACACAUCCGAAUCCACGAACGCCACUCGAAUCCACGAGCACACGAUCUGAAUCCUCGAACCGCCUUCGAUCACACCGAAUCCACGACGCCGUCCAUGAAGAACAUCAUGCUAAUGGUGAUCCUUCGCUUAGAGUAUCGAUAAAACUA
RNAcentral lists this long non-coding RNA (451 nucleotides) under Ananas comosus (pineapple). RNAcentral's name for it is "long non-coding RNA (ACOM_LNC000672)". The record is from RNAcentral. Lineage: Eukaryota; Viridiplantae; Streptophyta; Magnoliopsida; Poales; Bromeliaceae.